Molecule: unclassified non-coding RNA, 198 nt
Filed under: fungal sp.
Lineage: Eukaryota; Fungi
Description: partial internal transcribed spacer region
Rfam family: Eukaryotic small subunit ribosomal RNA (bases 1-46)
Source: RNAcentral
AAGUCGUAACAAGGUUUCCGUAGGUGAACCUGCGGAAGGAUCAUUAAAAAAUUAAUGAAUGUCGGAGGGUGUUCGGGUUUUUUACCUGUCGCUCUCUGUGUAUUCAACCAACCCGCUCUUGUAUUUGGAUCAACCAAAAAUUAACAAAAUACUUAUCAUAAUAAAAAUAAACUUUCAACAACGGAUCUCUUGGCUCUC